CGGGUUUCAGGGGCUUGUUUGCUGCUGCCUAGAUUCUCUCUCUCCUUGGACUUGCUCCUCCAGGGCAACAGAGAUCUGGGCCGCUGUGAAAGGGAACUGCGCAGACUCGACAUAGGAGGUCUGGUUUUAAGGCUGCUUACUCCACAGCCACCAAGCUUUACCGAAGGGUAGCGUUUUGCCUAUUUGACUAUUUCACAGUAGAGAAACAGAUGGGACACAGCUGGUUGUGUUCAGCCACAUCAUGCUGACUCUCCCUUACGCCGCCCUGUAGGUGAUCUCUCUGGUUCACAUUUACUUGUAAAGAAGUGUCUUUAGCCCCUGCUGCCAUAGAGGAGGAAGAAUUGAGCAGGAGAGGGUCUCAUGAAUCCCAAACUGGCCUAGAACUGGCAAUGAAGUUAAGGACCUUGAACUUCUGGUCCUUUUCGCCCGUGCCUCUUUAGUUCUGGAAUUAGAAGUGCGCACCAUCACGCCUGCUUACACCAUGUUUGGGAUUGAAGCCAGGAUGUUGUAUGUGCUAGGAGAACCAAAAUGAAGACUGAGAACCCUGAGCUACAACAGGGAAAUGAAGCAGCCAGAAUCCGAGGAGAGGCAAGGAGAGGGAGAGGACUUGCUUCUUCUGUCAACAUCAACCGGAGACAGAGCUCAUUGUCAUAAAUAAGAAAAAGGACCGACCCCUCUUCCCUCAGAAUAAAAGCAGACAGAACAUCA
Long non-coding RNA from Mesocricetus auratus (golden hamster), 708 nucleotides. RefSeq lists it as uncharacterized. NCBI's taxonomy places the organism in Eukaryota, Metazoa, Chordata, Mammalia, Rodentia, Cricetidae. The transcript is spliced from 3 exons. The record is from RefSeq and is a predicted model, not a curated record.